AUUGAACGCUGGCGGCAUGCCUUACACAUGCAAGUCGAACGGCAGCGCGGGAGCAAUCCUGGCUGCGAGUGGCGAACGGGUGAGUAAUACAUCGGAACGUGCCCAAUUGCGGGGGAUAACGCAGCGAAAGCUGUGCUAAUACGCCAAAAGCUCUAAGGAUGAAAGGGGGGGAUCGGAAGACCUUGCGCCAUUGCGGCGGCGGAUGACCGAUUAGGUAGUUGGUGAGGUAAAGGCUCACCAAGCCUUCGAUCCGUAGCUGGUCUGAGAGGACGACCAGCCACACUGGGACUGAGACACGGCCCAGACUCCUACGGGAGGCAGCAGUGGGGAAUUUUGGACAAUGGGCGAAAGCCUGAUCCAGCCAUGCCGCGUGCAGGAUGAAGGCCUUCGGGCUGUAAACUGCUUUUGUACGGAACGAAACGGUCUUUUCUAAUAAAGAAGGCUAAUGACGGUACCGUAAGAAUAAGCACCGGCUAACUACGUG
RNAcentral lists this ribosomal RNA (484 nucleotides) under uncultured bacterium. Its description in RNAcentral is "partial 16S ribosomal RNA". It matches the Rfam family "Bacterial small subunit ribosomal RNA", at positions 30 to 507 of the family's 1533-position model. The record is from RNAcentral.